UACGUAGGGGGCUAGCGUUGCUCGGAAUCACUGGGCGUAAAGCGCACGUAGGCGGCUUUUUAAGUCAGGGGUGAAAUCCUGGAGCUCAACUCCAGAACUGCCUUUGAUACUGGGAAGCUUGAGUCCGGAAGAGGUGAGUGGAACUCCGUGUGUAGAGGUGAAAUUCGUAGAUAUUCGGAAGAACACCAGUGGCGAAGGCGGCUCACUGGUCCAGUACUGACGCUGAGGUGCGAAAGCGUGGGGAGCAAACAGG
This 253-nucleotide ribosomal RNA is filed under the name uncultured bacterium. RNAcentral describes it as "partial 16S ribosomal RNA". It matches the Rfam family "Bacterial small subunit ribosomal RNA", at positions 524 to 776 of the family's 1533-position model. The record is from RNAcentral.